CGAAAGCGAGUUUUAAAAGAGCGUUUAGUUCAUAGGAUUAGACCCGAAACCGAGUGAUCUAGCUAUGGGUAGGUUGAAGGCACGGUAACACGUGCUGGAGGACCGAACCCACGUAUGUUGAAAAAUGCGGGGAUAACCUGUGGCUAGGGGUGAAAGGCCAAGCAAACUCGGAAAUAGCUGGUUCUCCGCGAAAACUAUUUAGGUAGUGCGUUGUGAUUAGGUUGUCGGGGGUAGAGCACUGGAUAGGGAAUGGGGGAGCGAUCCUUACUGACCCUAACCAAACUCCGAAUACCGAUUAACUUUGCACAGCAGACAGACUAUGGGUGCUAAGGUCCAUAGUCGAAAGGGAAACAGCCCAGACCACCAGUUAAGGUCCCCAAGUUAUGGUUAAGUGGGAAAGGGAGUAGAAAGUCCAAUACAACCAGGAGGUUGCUUAGAAGCAGCCAUCCUUUAAAGAAAGCGUAACAGCUCACUGGUCUAAUUAAGUCUUCCGCACCGAAGAUGUAACGGGGCUAAAACCAUACACCGAAACUGUGGACACUCUUUUGAGUGUGGUAGCGGAGCGUUCCGUAAGCUGUUGAAGUUAUGUUGUAAAGCAUAAUGGAGGUAUCGGAAGUGAGAAUUCUGACAUGAGUAGCGAUUAAUAGUGUGAGAAACACUAUCGCCGUACAUCCAAGGGUUCCUGCGCCAGGUUAAUCCGCGCAGGGUAAGCCGGCCCCUAAGGCGAGGGCGAAAGCCGUAGUCGAUGGGAACCAGAUUAAUAUUUCUGGGCCUGCUAGAAGUGACGAAUACUAACCUUUGUUUUUCCUUAUCGGAUUGGAAAAGCAGACAAGGUGUUCCAGGAAAUAGCUCUAGCAUAUAGACCGUACCCCAAACCGACACAGGUGGAUGAGUAGAGCAUACUAAGGCGUUUGAGAGAACGAUGUUGAAGGAACUCGGCAAAUUACUCUCGUAACUUCGGGAUAAGAGAGCCUUGAAUAAGGGCAACCUUUUUCAAGGGGCACAAACUAGGGGGUAGCGACUGUUUACUAAAAACACAGGGCUCUGCAAAGUCUUCAAGACGAAGUAUAGGGUCUGACGCCUGCCCGGUGCCGGAAGGUUAAAGUGAUGUGUGCAAGCAUUGAUCUGAAGCCCCGGUAAACGGCGGCCGUAACUAUAACGGUCCUAAGGUAGCGAAAUUCCUUGUCGGGUAAGUUCCGACCCGCAUGAAUGGCGUAACGACUUCCCCACUGUCUCCAACAUUGACUCAGCGAAAUUGAACUCUCCGUGAAGAUGCGGAGUACCCGUGGUUAGACGGAAAGACCCCGUGCACCUUUACUAUAGCUUCGUAGUGGUAUUAGUAAAUUAUUGUGUAGGAUAGGUGGGAGACAUUGAAGCGGAGGCGCUAGCCUUGCAGAGUCG
This 1401-nucleotide ribosomal RNA is filed under the name marine metagenome. RNAcentral's name for it is "bacterial LSU rRNA". It matches the Rfam family "Bacterial large subunit ribosomal RNA", at positions 672 to 2188 of the family's 2925-position model. The record is from RNAcentral.